CCUCUUUCGAACCAGAGUACACUGUAGUUGCGGAUUCCGCCGGCGAAGAUGACAAACUAUAGUACGUGCUAUUUUCCUGUCCCAGGCCCAGCCACGGGCAGCCAGCCAGCAAAACCCCCCCGCGGCCAGUGAGCAGCGCCCAGUGACUUGCUGGAGUGUCAUCGGGCGACCCUGACUGCUCUCUCCUCACUGCAGAGGGCGCGCCUCCGUCGUCGUUCUUACAGCAGCGUAGGGGAGUUAUAUAAGUUAGUACUGUACAUACAUCCAGAUACAAACGAACUCACUGAACGCUCUCUCCACUUUCUGUCCAUGUAACCCAACUACUUUAGUCCCGUUCGUUGCUCGGGGAUUCCCUAGCGGGAACAAGGAGAGAGAGGGAGGGAACAGGAUACAGAAAGAACAAACGAAAAGAAAAAAAAAAAAGAAAAGAAAAGAAAAGAAAAGUAAAGUAAAGUAAUCUGAUCUGUAAAGAAAAGAAAAAAACCCGCAUGACUCGGGAACUCUGGAUUCCGGAUCCUCACCCGCUAACCUUUUGAUUUUUUAAUUUUUUUUUGAAGGGGGGGGUUUGGUUUUGGUUGGGGUUGUUUUAUCUAACUAAUUAGGUUUUGUUUCGCCUUCUUGUUAGUUAACUCGCUAGGGGGUUAGUUAGUUAGCGAAGCAGGUUUGAUGAGCUUAAAAGUUAUCGCUGUUUGGUGUAUGUUUUAGAGGUCCCAGUGUCGCAAUGCGGGUAGUUAAUUGAGUUGCGCACAUUCAUCGUUGUAUGUACAAGUUGGUGAUGAUAGUACAACACCAGAAGAACCCACAAUCAUUUUGCGCGUUAUUGUCCUUUCCUUAUUUUUUUUGGGGG
RNAcentral lists this small RNA (847 nucleotides) under Histoplasma capsulatum. RNAcentral describes it as "hypothetical RNA". Lineage: Eukaryota; Fungi; Ascomycota; Eurotiomycetes; Onygenales; Ajellomycetaceae. RNAcentral also lists the same sequence under 1 other name. The record is from RNAcentral.